AGCGACAGGCUUAACACAUGCAAGUCGAGGGGCAGCACGGUGUAGCAAUACAUUGGUGGCGACCGGCGCACGGGUGAGUAACGCGUAUGCAACCUACCUAUCAGAGGGGAAUAACCCGGCGAAAGUCGGACUAAUACCGCAUAAAACAGGGGUUCCACAUGGAAAUAUUUGUUAAAGAUUUAUCGCUGAUAGAUGGGCAUGCGUUCCAUUAGAUAGUUGGUGAGGUAACGGCUCACCAAGUCUACGAUGGAUAGGGGUUCUGAGAGGAAGGUCCCCCACACUGGUACUGAGACACGGACCAGACUCCUACGGGAGGCAGCAGUGAGGAAUAUUGGUCAAUGGGCGAGAGCCUGAACCAGCCAAGUCGCGUGAAGGAUGAAGGAUCUAUGGUUUGUAAACUUCUUUUAUAUGGGAAUGAAGUGAGGAACGUGUUCCUUUUUGUAUGUACCAUAUGAAUAAGCAUCGGCUAACUCCGUGCCAGCAGCCGCGGUAAUACGGAGGAUGCGAGCGUUAUCCGGAUUUAUUGGGUUUAAAGGGUGCGUAGGUGGUUUUUUAAGUCAGCGGUGAAAGUUUGUGGCUCAACCAUAAAAUUGCCGUUGAAACUGGGGAACUUGAGUAUAUUUGAGGUAGGCGGAAUGCGUGGUGUAGCGGUGAAAUGCAUAGAUAUCACGCAGAACUCCGAUUGCGAAGGCAGCUUACUAAACUAUAACUGACACUGAAGCACGAAAGCGUGGGGAUCAAACAGGAUUAGAUACCCUGGUAGUCCACGCAGUAAACGAUGAUUACUAGCUGUUUGCGAUACACAGUAAGCGGCACAGCGAAAGCGUUAAGUAAUCCACCUGGGGAGUACGCCGGCAACGGUGAAACUCAAAGGAAUUGACGGGGGCCCGCACAAGCGGAGGAACAUGUGGUUUAAUUCGAUGAUACGCGAGGAACCUUACCCGGGUUUGAACGCAUUCGGACCGACUGUGAAAGCAGUCUUUCAGCAAUGACCGUUUGCGAGGUGCUGCAUGGUUGUCGUCAGCUCGUGCCGUGAGGUGUCGGCUUAAGUGCCAUAACGAGCGUAACCCUUAUCACUAGUUACUAACAGGUCAUGCUGAGGACUCUAGUGAGACUGCCAGCGUAAGCUGUGAGGAAGGUGGGGAUGACGUCAAAUCAGCACGGCCCUUACAUCCGGGGCGACACACGUGUUACAAUGGUGGGGACAAAGGGCAGCUACACAGCGAUGUGAUGCUAAUCUCCAAACCCCAUCUCAGUUCGGAUCGAAGUCUGCAACCCGACUUCGUGAAGCUGGAUUCGCUAGUAAUCGCGCAUCAGCCAUGGCGCGGUGAAUACGUUCCCGGGCCUUGUACACACCGCCCGUCAAGCCAUGGGAGUUGGGGGUACCUAAAGUCCGUAACCGCAAGGAUCGGCCUAGGGUAAAACCGAUGACUGGGGCUAAGUCGU
RNAcentral lists this ribosomal RNA (1446 nucleotides) under uncultured organism. Its description in RNAcentral is "SSU rRNA". It matches the Rfam family "Bacterial small subunit ribosomal RNA". The record is from RNAcentral.